RNAcentral lists this long non-coding RNA (1083 nucleotides) under Anser cygnoides (Swan goose). RNAcentral's name for it is "lncRNA (ENSACDG00005000660.1)". The record is from RNAcentral. Lineage: Eukaryota; Metazoa; Chordata; Aves; Anseriformes; Anatidae.
AUGAGUUUUCAGUUUAAGCAAACAAGACAGGUCUCAGUGUUACUGGGGAAACCACAGCCUAGAAACAGAGAGUGCAGCAGCAGAGGUCUUAGCAGAGGCGCUCCAAGAUUGAACACUGGUGCACCAUGUGCAGAAAGCUGCUGUUACCAGCCCAGUAUCCACCCGGCUGGAGUCAGCAAGAAGGAGCAUGAGCUCAGGUGCACUAUUUUGAGCCAAAUGUAUUCGAGUCUAUCAUCCACUGGGGGCUGCUUUGUGUUGGUGUACCACAACAUGGAUAUGAGGGAUGGAGAUCCGGUACGUGUCCCUCAUCUCUGAUUCUGUGGGACAUGGCUGGGGGGUAGCAAUGAACAGCUGGAGAUGUUUGGGAAGUACCAUAUGCCAGAACACCUUCCAGGUGCUAAAGCAGGAUUACGUCUGGACCCCUUUUAGUGCUCUUGUUGUAUUACACAAAUUAAAUAGAUGCAAGGGGUCCCUGGAAGCUUUGUUGUGAUUAAAGAGGCAUUUCCUGAGGUCCCAGUGAUACCUUGCAUGGGAUUGCUGGCAAACCAGUGAAAUCAUUUUGUGCUCUUUGAACAGUAAUAUUUAAAACAAUUUAUCCUGCAAUGACAUCUGGUGGUUGCUUUUCUUUGACAGGAAAUUCUUGCAGAAGCAUCCUAGGCAAGCCUUGCCACAGGGUAGAUCUUCCUGUGGCAAUAAUUCACUGGGGAUCUACUUUUGUGGAGAAGUGCACGUUUUAACAAGUUUCAACAGUUUUGUCAAUGAACAGCCCACAGCCCCUCCUUGGAGCCAGCCGCUGCAGCCAGAUUUCUUGUUGGGAAUGAUCUGAUGGGCAAGUAUCCAGCAGAGAAGCCACUGCUGCUUUGGAAAGAUGUACGGGGGUCAUCCUGCUGAGUUGCCACUGAAUAUCACUGUGCUGCAAAGGGGAUCUCUGCUUAGGUGCCUCGUAAAGGCAAGGGAGCCAUGCAAGACUGGCAGGAGCAAGCUGCCUUGAUUGCGUCCUUCCAGACAACCUCUGACAAACCUUAAAAGACAGAGAAGGUACAAACACCCCUCAACUGUCUCUUCGCUGGAGCUGCUCACCAU